GAACGGAUGCAAACAUUAUGCAAAAUCACACUGAGACACAGACCAAUUGGGAGGUACAUAACUUCCCUCUAACACGGAUUACCUUAACCACAUCAAAUCCCAAGCAAAAAUCAUAUCACCUUAACCAAAUCAAACCCCAGACAAAUCAUAAGUAUCAUAGAUGCUUUUCAAAUAAAACCAAAGACAUAUUGAAUUUUCCGGUUCCAUUCUUUCUCCUUUCCCGUCAUUUUCUCUUUUUUUUCCUUUUCUUUUUUUCUUUUUCUUUUUGGACGGGAGGUUGGAACCGGUUCUCGUCUCACAAACAGCAUCAACAAAACUCAAUCAUGAUUGGUCACAGCACAUGCUCAUGAAUAUAACAAUAUAAUCACAAGAACUCAAUGUCAAUCACCCCAAACAACUACAAUUACAAUCCUAAUUAAAGGAAAGCUAUGUCGGUCUGUAUACUCUGUAGUUUUUGCACAUAAUGACAAUGAUAAUGACAUACGAAUGCAUGUGGUCUGAAACAUGGAUAGGGCUAAAGGUUUGCUACUAGACUAAAUAUGAGUCUAGCCAUUCAGAGUUUACAAAGAGUGGUAAAAUAACGCGAACUAAACUCUGAAUAUAUGAUCCAUUACAUGAUUGCCAACCCCCUAAGUGAGAUAUAACAAGUUUAGAUUAAGUUCAAAUAAGCAAGGUUAAGCUCAAAUCAUCCAAAUUUCGAAGUGAGGGAUUAUACGAGUGAUUAUCAAUAUCAAACAAAACUCCUAAAUAAAAUUAUGCAAGAAGAGAUCUAGACAUUUCAGGCAUUGAAAACUUAAACUCGAGAUCAUAAAAAUUCAAAGCACAAUGAUAUUCAAUAUGAAAACAUAUCUCAUGGUAAUCUCUAGCAAGUUUUUCUGCUCUAAAAGUAUAUAGCUGUUAAGACUCACCUGUCAAAUCAUAACAUUCACUGAUAAUCUUGGGAGUAUGCAAAGUAGAAUCAACAUCUUCAAUGCAAGGCAUAGAAAAAUCUUCAAAAUCAUGAAUUUCAAAGGUUGAAACGCAUGUACCUUCUAUGUCGCUCGAUGGAACCGAAUAUUUUACAUUUUCAAGAUCAUGGGCUUCUUUGAUCUCAUAGCCUGUGAGUUUCCUUCCUUCAUAUGCUGCCCGCAACGAUAUGAGGUUCAGCCGGAUCAUAGUCGCUAAGUCACUCCUUGUCAAUGUUAGAUUGUCCACGUAAAGUUCAUCCAACUUCACUUUUUUCCGGUGUAAUAACACUCUCAUCAAAUGGUGGCUCUAUAUAUGGCUCAUCCUCUUCUUCUUGUGGCCAAUCAUUGAAUUCCAUGGCCAACAACUCCUAAAUCAACAAAAAGAAAUAAAAUUUGUUAGUUAUAAAAAAGUGUAGAGAAAAUGCUCUAGACAAGAAACUAAUCCUAAAUCUUUAAGUAACGCAAUUACUCCCCAGCAGCGGGGCCAACUUGAUUACUCGAGUAUUUAACCCGAUAAAUUAACCGGAGUAAAUUAUAUGCGGGAUCGAUCACAAGGAGCAAUGGUACACUAAAGACUUGCGAGACUCGUUCUUAGCUAAAGCAGAAAAGACUUGUUUGGUUUUUCAGUUUGUAAAUAAAAAUGCAAAAAUAAAUUGUGAUUAAACUUAUGAAUUAAAGACAUUGGGCAGCAGGGUAUUUUCAGAGAAUCAAUGAAUAACAAAUAAAAGCGAUAAGGAAUUCAAACAUGAAGAGCCGUUCUUAAACAUGAACACAAGUUUAGACUAACUCUCUCUCUCAAGACAUUAAUCACUAAAUUUAACUAUUUAAUUACUAAACUCUCAUUUGUAAUUUCAUAGCCAAAUUCACAUUAUCAAACAUGUUCUUUUGGUUCACAAAGCAUUCUAACAUCAACUCUCGCAGGUUAGAAAUACAAUGCUCAAUUUACAUUCAUUCAGGCAUUUUAUCGAACAUCUCUGAAACACAUAAAAGCCUAAGUUCUAAAACAGGGUGAUCAAUCCUAUUCUAGCAUUGAGAACAUGUAAAUUGAAGAACCUAAAGAUUAAGAAUUCCCUAAGACAUCUAAUCUAUCAAAUCAUUGAAUUCUCCUACUUGAAACCCUAAAACCCAAUUAAGAGACUACUCAAACAUAGCAAAAGAGAAAACAAAAAUCAUAGAUGAAGAAAACAUGAUGAAAUUUCAGAAACAAUAAGAAAGGAUUUAUAAAUCUUCUCCAAGUGUCAAGAGGAUGGAUUCGUCUCCCAUAAUUGUUUAAGAAGCAAAGAACAACGUUUAGAACUCAAAAUAUGAAGGAUGGCUGCUAAAAAGUCGAGCCUAGGGUAUAAAAACAAUAGGAGACGAUUUUGGUCGGUUAUGAAGUGUUUCGGAUCAAAUAUGGGCCAAAACAUACGUCAGAGGUAAGGGACCGAUCGAUCCAAAUGUUAGACCGAUCGGUCUAAUGCUCCCAGGUUUUACUUCUGCAUUAGCUUCAAAAACUCGUCAGAAUGACCUGUCUUCACAAAAUCGGGGGUAACUCGUGAAUGCACCGUUAGAUUUUCUUGAAAUCACUUGCAAAUAAAAGCUAUCACCUGUCUUCAUUUUGUGUCAAAAUAUGAGCAAGCUCUAACGGUUGAAAGUUGUCCAUAUGAUCUCAAACAUCUGACACUUCUACAUGAAUCUGCAUCUCCAAAUGUGUGUUUGCAUCCCAAAACGGCUCAUUUUAUUUCAAAGCAACCUAAAACCUGUAAAGAUUCUAUACUGGACUAAAAGACUCUAAAAACACACUUUGACUCAAUAAAAAUUAUAAAAUUAAAGAGAAAAAAGACUUGUCGAUAAAAACACAAUAUAUCAACUCCCCCCGACUUAGAUUCUUGCUUGUCCUCAAGCAAAACAAAAAUCUUAACCAAGAGAAUAGGUUUGAAAACAUGAGAACUCACAUAUUCUUUUGGGAUCAUGCUCUUAAUCAAUUGCUUGCAAACCACUACCACAAAUUUUAUAUCAAACCGUACAAUAAUGUACUUCACCAUGACAUCAUGAGAUUCCUAAAGCACAAAGAACUUCAUAAUCAAAUAACUUAACCUUUUAACAUUCAUUAGCAGUUUCGUGCAUUGUCAAAAAGGGAAUAUCGAACACGUUAUGGUCUAGGUGUAAAAUCAGUUUUAGGUGGCUCAAGUGUUUAAGGUUCAGCAGUAAUACGAACGGAUGCAAACAUUAUGCUAAAUCACACUGAGACACAGACCAAUUGGGAGGUACAUAACUUCCCUCUAACUCGGAUCACCUUAACCACAUCAAAUCCCAAGCAAAAAUCAUAUCACCUUAACCAAAUCAAACCCCAGACAAAUCAUAAAUAUCAUAGAUGCUUUUCAAAUAAAACCAAAGACAUAUCGACUUUUCCGGUUCCAUUCUUCUUUCCCGUUAUUUUCUCUUUUUUUUUUUUUUUUUAGACGGGGGAGUGGAACCGGUUCUCGUCUCACAAACUGUU
This 3426-nucleotide long non-coding RNA is filed under the name Capsella rubella. Its description in RNAcentral is "long non-coding RNA (CRUB_LNC000605)". The record is from RNAcentral. Lineage: Eukaryota; Viridiplantae; Streptophyta; Magnoliopsida; Brassicales; Brassicaceae.